Long non-coding RNA from Lathyrus oleraceus (garden pea), 619 nucleotides. RefSeq lists it as uncharacterized. Lineage: Eukaryota; Viridiplantae; Streptophyta; Magnoliopsida; Fabales; Fabaceae. The record is from RefSeq and is a predicted model, not a curated record. The transcript is spliced from 2 exons.
UAUUGCAAAAAAAACAAUUAAUCUUUUUCUUUUGACCAUACAUUUUUAAUAUAUUUUUGAAAACAUUUGUCAAUGCUUGAAAACUGGCAUAAAUUUCACAUAUUAAUCAAAGAGUAUUUACACCAUUUGUCCCAAAACAAAUGAGUAUAAAAGGAAGAGUUCAUUUCACACAACACAACUGCCACCCUUUCAAAUUCAUUUGCCAGUCAAAUCGAAGAAAAAAAAUGACCCACUCACUAUCAGCUACUAUGCUCCUUGCACUUCUUAUAUUUACUACAAUAAUAUGGAAGGCAAGAACAUGUGAGUUAACGAGGAUUGGAGGUGGUUGUCCUGAUCUUUCAAAAUGCAGGGAAACAUGUCUACCAUGUUAUAAGGGCAUAGGUCAAGUCAAAUACUAUUGUCGUUCUGGAGGUUUUCCAAUAUUACUACCUACAUGUGUUUGUGUAAUGACCAAAGGUGCUCCCUGUCAAGUACCUGGCUGCCCUAAACCUCCUCCCGCUGCGUUACCUGCCAACUUCAAUCAAUCUCAAAUGAAUAUUACAGCUUAAACAAUGCAUGUAUUUCUUCUUAUAUAGUAUGAAUGUUUUCAAUAAAUUAUAUAAUAAUGUAUUGCUCUUAA